RNAcentral lists this long non-coding RNA (1606 nucleotides) under Homo sapiens (human). RNAcentral describes it as "HSALNT0210533". The record is from RNAcentral. Lineage: Eukaryota; Metazoa; Chordata; Mammalia; Primates; Hominidae.
AAGCCGUAGGGGAUUGUUCUCCAGUCUUGACUUUGAGAACUUGGUAGAGCUCCUGAAGGCUCACCUGAUAAGAGAUGUAUGUCACAAUCUGCUCACCCUGGCAUUUCUCUAAAUAGAAGAUACCACCACCUUCAAAUGAAUAUGAUAAAUCAAUCUUGUCCUUAUUGAAUGGAUUUAGUAUUCAGCAUCCAGGCCUAAUAAAAAAUAUGAUCUAAUGAAGGUUCAUCUGUCUGAAUAUAGAUAUCAAGAAGUGGCAGAGUAUCAGAGGAGAAAGAUAUCAAGAAAUAGAAUAUUCAAGCUACAACCAACAGCUUGAUGACACAUGCAGAGAUGGAAUACCCUGUGUUCAAGGAUGACAGAGGUUAAGUGGGCAAAAGAAUCGUGAAUGUUUUCAAUGGAGUCAAUAAAAUUAAUGAUAGGUAAAUAAAUCCAAAUUGAAUGAAGAUGGAAGUGCACUGAAGAGUGUUCUGAUGAAUAAAGAAUAAAGAAAAUAAAGAAAGUAGAACAUAUCAAUUGAACCAAUAAGAAAUGGUGGUAGGAAAGUGAAGUGUUUAAAAUAAAGCUUUUGAAAGUGGUAUAUAUCUUGCCACUACCUAGAAUUGAGGGAUGCAGGCAAAGCAUUAACCUUUACAGAGAGUGAAAUUUUAGUUAACAUCAGGAGGAGCACAGAAGAAAAAGAUGGAUGAUACAUGAAUUUUUAAUUCCAUAUAUCAUCUGAUUCAGAGUUACUACCAAGGGCACUGCAUUGUAGUCUGGGCGCUCACUAAGGGGAUGAAAGAUGACAGAUAAAAUCAGAUUAGGGCAUGUCCAAGAUAGUAAGCAAGUUAGAGUGCAGGCAAUUAUUCAUAAACUCAGGAACUUGGUUCUAGAAAUGAUAAAUAUUUCCCAGAAUGAACAAUGGCAAAUAAUAGGAUUUGUAAUGAUUGCAUCACAGAACAAAGUGAGCCAUUAGUUCAAAAUGGUGUUAUGGGUUCUUGGAAUCAUUAGUCUGUCUUAUAGCUAGGAAUCAUAUACCACUGCUCAAUAGGAAUAUGAUAGCAGGAGUAUUUCCCCUAGAUCCUGAGGCAAUAUGGUUAAAAAUAUAAAAUCAGAAGUAAAAUAGACAUAAUUUCAAAUACUAGCUACAUAACUUAACUGCUAAGAGAAUUACGUAAUUUCAAGCCAGAGGUUUUUCAAUUAGGAAAAAAACCUUGGAGGGGUGAUGGGAAGGUUGAAGAGUAAAUGAAAUGAAGUGUAGAAAAAUACCCAACACGUGUCUGAAUGUUACCUUCCUUUCUUUCCAUUCUCCUAUGGGAGCUGUGCCUCCCCCACCCCUCUUCCCUACUUCACUACCAUAUUAAUUGUGUACAUUUGUGUGCAAACUUUGUCACCAGGUAAGUAACAAUAACUUUAAUAAUUAACAGGAGUGGCAUUCAUUGUUUUUUUGAUAACCUGGCUCAUAGUAAGCACCACUAUUUAUUUACUAAAUUAAUGAAAUGUAUACCUGUGGAAAUGUUAAAGUUUUAUAUCCAAUAAUGGCAAUUUUUGUACUGAGUUACUAAUAUCAUUUUUAUUAUUAAGAAAUGUGUUAAACAUAUUUAACAAUAAAUAAGAUAGACAACUAUUG